UUGUGCUCUCAGGGGUCGCCAUUGCGGCUGGGAACGUGGGCUUCUGGGUCCCCAUGGAUGGGCAUCUAGUGAGCUGAACGGAGGGGUGCGGACAACAGAGUCUGCCUGCAGUGUGGGACACCUCGGUUAGGAAGAUCUCCUGGAGAAGGAAAUGACAGCCCACCCCACUGUCGUUGCCUGAAGAAUUUAAUGCACUGAGGAGCCUGGUCAUCCAGAGGACCCAAGACAUGGUGGUUACUAAUAGACUUCCCACAGUACUUCUUCAUUCCAUGUGGACUCCUUCAAGGGUGGUGAGCAUCACAGCUUCCCUUGAACUUUGUCUGCGUGAGUUUCAUGCCUGUCUAAUCUGAUUUUUUUUUUGUGGUAUUGACAUGGUUUUGAAACAUAAUUUACUUUCUGGUAAUUUAAAAUGUACAGAAAACUCCUAGCAAUGGGAAAAAGUACUCGCAUUUGCCACAUCAUUUAAAAUACUCUAUGUGCUUUAUCCAAAAUGGGUGCAUUCUCCUGCAGAACCAGCACAUAAUCUCCAAAAUCAGGAAAUCAUAUGGUUUCUACAUUAUAAUGUAAUCCACAGCCCCACUUCCCCUUUCAGCAAUUGUUCAACUGUACGAAUAUAUAUUUUUUUCCAUCUUCAACCUUUUUUCUUUUUUUAUAGUGUUAUUGAGAUUUUCAGUUAUUUGGACAAACUUGAUGAAUUUAAAGCAGACAUGGUGAAUAUGGGAUCUGGGUGGCCUUUUCUAUAUGGAUUUUUUUUUUCACUAAAGAUGGUUUUCAUGUUUACUCAUGUUGUAACAUGUAUGAAUCCUGCAUUCUUCCCCCCCAUAGUAAUUAAAAAUAAAUCACAUGCUAUUUACCAUUUAGAUAUUUGUAAGCAUACAGUGUUGUAGCAAACGACCUUUACUUGUUUUGCAAACCAGUUUAAUAAUGUGUACCUCGUGCGUGCUUUGGAGAAACUCAGGAAACUGAGUCAGUGACUGAAAUGGCCCACGAUAUCACCUUAGAUAGCAUCUUCAUCUAAAAACAAAACAGGGGCUUCCUGGUGUUCCAGUGGCUAAGACUGGACACUCCCAAAGAAGGAGGCCUCGGUUCAAUCUCUGAUCAGAGAACUAGAUCUCCCAUGCCACAAUUAACAGUUUGCAUGCUGUAGCUAAAUAUCUGGCUUGCCUCAACAAAGGUCGACCUGGUGCAGCCAAAUAAAAAAACAAGUAAAUAUUAAAAAAAUAAAACUAAAGGAAAGCAAGGGUAUGGUGGUUGUACAGAUUUACGUCUUAGCUUUCCCUAUUGAUGAUAAAAAAUGUUUCACAAAACUGUCAUCCGUCUAUCUGGUAUAUACAGAGGAUUCCUUUGAAAUGAGAUUUCUCUGGUAAAUGUGAGUCACAGAAUAGCCGUCUUGAACUUGGGUUUCAGAGAUGAUCAUGUGUCCUUUUAAAAAAAAUUAAUUAGGUCCAACUAAUUCUCAUGCUGAAGCAGUAUGUAUUGGGGUAGCAUUUGCUCCCCUUCACUUUGGAUGUAUCCCAGUUUGCUUACAUAGUCAUCUACCGAAGACAUCCUGAUAUUUGAAAGUUUUUAGCUGUUACAAGUAGAGCUGCUGUGUGUAAUUGUGUGAAAGUUUUUGUCUGGAAACUUUUCCAAAGCUGUUUACUAAGUGCUAGACGUGUAGUGUUCAGGCCACAGGUGAGCCUUGUUUAGCUGUGGAAAAAUCCAGCUAAGUUUCUCUGGCAUGUGGGAUCUUCCUGGGUAAGGGGUUGAACUUGAGUCUUUUGCAUUGUCAGGCAGAUUCUUUACCAGAGAAGCCCCGCACCCGUCUUUUUUUUUUGAGUUUACUGGAUCUAAUAGGUGUGCAGUGCUACUUCACUGUUGUUUUAGUUUGUAAUUUCCUAUCAAUAUAUGAUUUUGAGUACUUUUGAUAUGCUUAUUUACUAUCUGUAUAUUUUCUUUGGCCAGGUGUUAAAAUUUAUACAUUUUUAAUGAGUUGUUGGUUCCAGAUUUUUUGUUAUAGUUGGAGUACAGUCCUUUAUCAGAUACGUAUUUUGUAAAUAUAUUUUUCCGUGGCUUUUGUUUAAGUUCUGUGAAUAAGGUUUUUCACAGUUUAAAUUUCUAAUUUUUUGCAGAUCAUGUUAUAUGUGUUUUAUAUCCUUUUUUGGAUAGACUUUAGUGUUUCUGUUGUUGUUGUUAAAUUUCAUAAGCGAAGUUGAGGUACUGUAGAUACAGUUUUAAGCAGAGCUGAGGUACCAUACAUACAGUUUUGCCUUUUGUCUGUUGAGAAGUUUGAGUGAGGUUGGUGUAAAUUGUAAAAUUAUGCCUACACUCAUUUGAUUGGAUAUGGCUUCCAAUUAUUUGUAUAAUUGGUUUUGGAGAUAUCAUGGGAAGUCAGUUUCCCCAAGGGAUACUGGGUGGGGUCCAUGAAACGUGAACUGUCUUCGAUCCCUGGGAAUCACUUUCUGCUUUUUCUGGCUUUGUAUUUGACUUGUUUGGAUAUCUCAUACUAGUGGAAUCACAGAACGUUUGUGCUUUUUUGGUCUGGUUUAUUUCAUUUAAUAUAAUGACUAUAAGGUUCGUCCACAUUGUAGCAUUGUCAGAAUUACUGACUUUUAAGGGCUGAAUCAUAUUCCAUUGUGUGUAUACCACAGUUUGUUUAUGGAAUUAGCUGCCAUGGACAUUUCUUCUGUUUGUUGGCCAGUUUGAAUCAUGCUGUUGUGAAUAUGACUGCAGAAAUAUGCAUUUUUUCAGCCCCCUUUCCCAAACCUUUUGGGUACAUAGCAUGAAUUGGACUUGAACUAUAUAUUUAUUCCAUGUGUUAGCUUUGGAAUAAUUUCUGUAAUGUCUUGCACAGUGGCCGAGCCAUUUCAGUUAAUUUUUUUGUAUGGUAGAAUACUGUUCAAGGUUUUGAAUAUACCCUGUGUUGCAUAUUCAUUCACUCACCGAUGGACACUUGAAUGGGUUCUACCUUUGGGCUAUUGUGAGUAAUGUUGCUAUGAAUAUUUGUGUACCAGUUUUUGUUUGAAUUAUUAACAAAUACAUAGUACCAGAUAUGAAAGAAACCACCAGGACCUACUGUACAGUGUAGGAAACUGUAUUGAAUAUCUUAUGAUAAUAUAUAAUGGAACAGAAUCUCAAAAGGAACAUAUGAAAAAUACAUAAUACCAUGAUCAUUAUUGUGCAAACACUAUGAGUUAUCAUAGCACUACUCAACGUGUAUUUAUACAUGUCACUGAAAUAUUCAUAUCUGUAAGUAUAUUUCACUGUUUGAUUAUAUAAAAAUAGAGAAUUCAGAGAAUAAAUAAACUUCCUGUCAUUGCUCAUCAUCAUUUAUGCACUAUUACUACCUGUAACACUCAUGGUAUAAGUGCUGGACUAGGAAUUUACAUUAGUGUAAACCAAGAGAUUGUGAAGGUGUGAAAAAGUAUAACUUAUUUCGUUCCUUCACGAACGAUUAUCGAACUCUAUGUACAUGAAGUGAAUGAAAGUCAAAUAUUUUAAUUGAGCCAUAUUCUUACUAGAGUGAUGAGCUUCCACCCCACCCAGUGUUAGUUCACAAUUCAAUCCUGCAGUCAUCUGGCCUCAGUGUCUGCUUCCUUCCAUCCAGAAAGAAAAGGUGAGGAAGUCCUGACAAAAUCAUUGUUUUUCUCUUUUUGAUUUGUAUUUUAUCACAGGGCUUGGCAAAAAGAGGGCCUAACCUGUUUUUAGAGUUCCAUCCCAAGGCUUGCUCUGGCAUGUGACAUGUGUUGACAAACUGCUGAUUAUUUCCAACAAAGGUCCAUGAUCUGCCCUUCACUAUCUGUUGCUUGAGCUGGAAUAGUAGGCCUCCCUUUAAGUGCAGUCCUUCAUGCUGAAGUAGGCAUACCUGAAGCAGUAGCAUAAGAGGAACACGUUUAUCGUGUAGACCUCGCAUCCUAUGAAUUUGUAACAAUUUUUCAGGUAUACCCAUCAUCAUUGGAGGAACUGACUUGUCCCAGUAAUAACUGGAGUACCCAGCCUAACAGUUCCUUGACUUAUGAGUACUUCUUAUGAGUACACUUAUGAGUCCUUUGUCCAAUGUCCUUUCUCCUACUUCGGUCAUGAACAGUAGAAGCUGGUAGCAGUGGUUCUUGAAAUGUGUAUCGAUUCCUAGGUGGCACAGUAGGUAAAUAAUCUGCCUACCAGUGCAGGAGAUGGAAGUGAUGUGGGUUUGAUCCCUGGGUCAGGAAGAUGACAAUUCAUACCCUCGUUUUACAUGAACAAGUUUGAUACUCAUGAGUUUUUUCCUUCUGUAUAUACAGAGCAACAAAUGCUGUUCAAGGACACUGAAAGAACCCUAAUGUUGGAAAUCAGAUCUGUAUUGUGAGCGAUGCUUAGAAAUCUAUGAGUCAGUGACUUAGCACAGCACAUGAUUCAUUGUCAUAGCUGAUAUAAUGGAGGUGACAUGUAAAGAAGAACCAGCCGGUGAAAGUCAAUAUUCACCACUUUUAAACUUUGGAAUUUAUUGCGAUAUUUUACAUCCAUAUUUGUAUGACUUCAUAGUUGGAGAAUCUAUGCAUAUGAAGGGCUGAUUGUGUUAUAUUUAUGUUGAGGGAAGAUUUAUUUUUAUGUGGUUUGAGAUAC
This is a long non-coding RNA of Odocoileus virginianus texanus, 4581 nucleotides long. RefSeq lists it as uncharacterized. Lineage: Eukaryota; Metazoa; Chordata; Mammalia; Artiodactyla; Cervidae. The record is from RefSeq and is a predicted model, not a curated record.